UGAGGAAUCUUGCGCAAUGGGCGAAAGCCUGACGCAGCCACGCCGCGUGGAGGAAGACACCCCUCAGGGGCGUAAACUCCUUUUGUACGGGAAGAACACCCUGCUCGGCAGGGUCUGACGGUACCGUACGAAUAAGCACCGGCUAACUCCGUGCCAGCAGCCGCGGUAAUACGGAGGGUGCAAGCGUUGUCCGGAAUCACUGGGUGUAAAGGGUGUGUAGGCGGACGUGUAAGUCAGGGGUGAAAGCCACCGGCCUAACCGGUGAACUGCCCUUGAUACUGCACGUCUUGAGUCCUGGAGGGGUCACUAGAAUUCGUGGUGUAGCGGUGAAAUGCGUAGAUAUCACGAGGAAUACCAGAGGCGAAGGCGGGUGACUGGACAGGUACUGACGCUGAGGUACGAAAGCGUGGGGAGCGAACAGG
RNAcentral lists this ribosomal RNA (422 nucleotides) under uncultured prokaryote. RNAcentral's name for it is "bacterial SSU rRNA". It matches the Rfam family "Bacterial small subunit ribosomal RNA", at positions 355 to 776 of the family's 1533-position model. The record is from RNAcentral.